ACUGGAAAUAUAAAUCAAUCCAGCAGCUUCUGGUCGGUGUGCAAUCAAUAAAAAAUAGACAAAAAUCCCCAUCGGAGAGCUCCCUUAUCCACACAGCACUGCUCGUGCUCGUCAUCAAUCCACGCCCCCAUCAGCGCUGCUCUCUCCUCUUCUCCGCCCCGGCCCCAGUUCCAUCCGUGCCACACCCCCCAUCUCUCUUCCCUCCUCCUGUCCUCCGCACGGACCGUGGCGCCAGAUCGAGGGAGCCUGGCAACGGAGGUCGCCGCCUCUCCGUCUCGAUCCGUCGGCUGCUAGAUCCGACUGCGUGGCCCGCUGGUGCCCUCCAGGGACCCCCCAGCCCCGGCGUCAGUGAGGACAGCCAUGGAUGGGCCCCCUGGAGCUCUUCUGCCGUCGCCCGAUCUGGCCGCCCGCCCAGUCGCCGGACCGUGCUCCGGAUCCGGCCAACAGCCUCGCCUCCGACUCGAUUCAGACGCCCACAACCUCCCUCCGCCACCUGCGCCAUGCAUGCCCCCAGCUCGCAAGGAGGCCAGGCACCUCGUCCAACUGAUGCACCGGCGGCGCGUAUCGGUGUGGGGGUGAGCCGGUGACACACAUCGGCAUAUUUCUUUUUCUCUCUUGUCAGUACCGCUUCGGGUUGACUUAUAAUAGUACUGCGGGUUGAAUACCCAAAACAGCAGGGGGUUUUCUGUAAAAAUGCCGACGACGUACGUUCUCUCGGUCUCUCUCUCUUUUCGUCUUCUCCGCUGUACGUCGCCCGACCUCCAAAUUAACCACUCCCGCCGCCGCGAUUUGAGCCACCGCCGGCAUGGUUGCCGUCUUCCCCGAACUCCGCCAUGCAUGCCAGCUCCUCCUCUCUCUGCGGUCCGCCCACGACCGCGCUCACCGCCGCUGGAUACCGUCUACCUCGCCACCGACAAGCUAGGGUAAAAAGCUAACUUUUUCUUUGUUUGUUUUUGCAGACGUGACGUGCGGUACGGACGACAAAGCGACGACCACCGCGGACACCCAUGCAUGCAUCAGGCCUCCCCCGGGCCUGAGCCACGCCGGCCUACAACACCGACGGUGACCAUGCCCCGGCUCGCCGAGAAACGCACAAGGUAGAUAAAGCUGGCAUCUUUGUGCAUCGAUCCGCGCCGCGCCCAACGUACGUCCUCGCGACCGUCCUUUCUCCGACGAAACUCCAAGUCGCCCGGGCUCUUGCUCCUUCACCCAACCAAGAAACUGACUGCCACCGUCCUUCAUGGUUGCCGUCUUCUUCCUCGCCUCCUUCCCAUGUGUGGUGUAGUUUGACCUACUCUUGGCGUAUAUAGCUCCACCGUCUUUGACGUACUCUUGGUGUAUAUAGCUCCACCGUCUCUCGUCUGCGCUAGCUCCAGGUCAUGCAUGGCCCGUUGGCCCGUUGGCCAUGCCCUUAAGCGAGCCGGAGCUCGAUCCGUGGGAGUGCCACCCCGCGCGUCCACUCUGCGUUUAGCUAAAAAACCUGGAUGUUCCUGCCUUUCGCUUUGGUCGACGCGACCGCUCGCACUAAUUUUGAACGAAAAUUCAAUCCAAGGAGCGGGAAGGGAGUGCUUUGGCCCACAAAAGAAAAGGAAGAAGAGAAAACGCAACCAAACCACAGCCAGGCCGCGCGGCUUCUCUCUCUGUCUUGCUCCUCUCUCAAUCCCCUCCAGAUCAGCCGCCACCGCCACCGCCACCGCCGACCUCUGUCCUCUCCCCCAACCCCAGCUCCAACUCCGGCCUCCACUCCACCGCCGGUGAUCCAUCCGUUCCCCUCCUCUCGCUCGCCGUAGAUCCGCUCGAGCAGCGCAGCCCACGGUCAGAUCAGAUCCUCGCGCCCGGAACCCUAGCCCUCUGGCCAUGGCGACCGGCCGCAGCACAGGUUGGAGGUGCCACCAUGGAGUCCUCUGCCGGGGACGCCGCCCAAGUGCUCGUCAAGGCCCGCUGCUCCUUCUUCCUCCUUUUCCUCAAAUUCAAGGGCAAUCAGCAGCACACGCCAUCCUCAAGGCGCAUGGUUCUUCUCUUCUCUGAUGGAUGGAUGGAUGGGUGGAUGGGUUGGUCGUGGAGGAGGAGAACGACCAGAAGAAUAGAGUCCCGUCUCUUCUCUUCUCUUCAUCAAUGCCGGCCAGGAACAACGACCCAGCCACCCCUCAAGGGAAGGUGUCUUUGUUUACUAGUACUUGAGAGGGAAUUGGAAGUAGUUUGUCAACUGAAGCUUGGUGCUGCUCGACACCAAGGAGAGGCGCAAGGGGGUGCCUAGCACCGGUGCCGAAGAAUGCCGGUGCUCCUCUUCGUCUUUGACCUGCUCUGCUCCUUCAAGGUGAUAGCCGAAUGGUAUACGCGUGAGAUUCUUCUUCCACUCAAACGCCUCACGCCCUGCCCCUCCAGUAGCUGAUUCUUCUUCGACUCUGUCACAUGUGUGACGACAUAUAUUCAUUUUCUGUUUUUUCGGCCGUGGGAGAGCUAGUUGCUGGUGAUAGACAGUAGUAUCAAUAUCUGGUUGAGAGCAUUUGCCGGUUUAAAAAAUAGGCUUCGCGGCGCUACUGCUUCCAUGUGACGGUGUUGUUUGGCAUUGGCUACAAAAACGGCCACGGAGAGCAUAUAUAUGUGAAGAAAAGAAAAGGCUGGGAGUCAUCGUUGUUACAAGAUGACGCUCAAGGGAAGAAAAUCUAUGCUGGAGAUGGGGGAGCAAGUUUGAUCUUGCAGAGGGUGAGAGGACGGACGGAUGGACCUUAUAGCGACUCUUGGUUGUAAUUGAGCUUGUUUUGUGUUCAACGCAGGCGCUGUUUGCUCCUCUUGAUUACCAUUCAGUUUCUGAAGAAGCACAAGACGCACGACGAGUCCAUGAAAAUUAGUAAUGGCCUGAGCUGUGCAAUCCAAGCUCAAAGCGACUUGAUCCAGUAGCUCCGCACUAGGAUACCGUGAUGUUUGCGGUCGUCUGCCAACAAGACUAGCGUAGCGCAAACUUGUGUGAUAAUUUGUUGGCCCUGUCUAUUGUUCUGCUGUACAUAAGUGAAUUCUCAAGCGAGAGUGAUAUGAAAUCUGAAUAGGUUUGAAAGUUGCACCUGCAAAUUAGUUGCAUAUUUCCAUGAACCUCUCUUAAAUGGGCGCCUGUGGAUUAUAGAGCAGGUCUAUUUGCAAGUUUGUCAAUCAAGAAAUGAGCCACAUCUCAAAUUGCAUA
Long non-coding RNA from Triticum aestivum (bread wheat), 3178 nucleotides. RefSeq lists it as uncharacterized. The record is from RefSeq and is a predicted model, not a curated record. The transcript is spliced from 10 exons. Lineage: Eukaryota; Viridiplantae; Streptophyta; Magnoliopsida; Poales; Poaceae.